This 468-nucleotide ribosomal RNA is filed under the name uncultured bacterium. RNAcentral describes it as "partial 16S ribosomal RNA". It matches the Rfam family "Bacterial small subunit ribosomal RNA", at positions 28 to 507 of the family's 1533-position model. The record is from RNAcentral.
GACGAACGCUGGCGGCGUGCUUAACACAUGCAAGUCGAACGGAAAGGCCCUGCUUUUGUGGGGUGCUCGAGUGGCGAACGGGUGAGUAACACGUGAGUAACCUGCCCUUGACUUUGGGAUAACUUCAGGAAACUGGGGCUAAUACCGGAUAGGAGCCUCUGCUGCAUGGUGGGGGUUGGAAAGUUUCGGCGGUUGGGGAUGGACUCGCGGCUUAUCAGCUUGUUGGUGGGGUAGUGGCUUACCAAGGCUUUGACGGGUAGCCGGCCUGAGAGGGUGACCGGCCACAAUGGGACUGAGAUACGGCCCAGACUCCUACGGGAGGCAGCAGUGGGGAAUAUUGCACAAUGGGCGGAAGCCUGAUGCAGCGACGCCGCGUGCGGGAUGACGGCCUUCGGGUUAUAAACCGCUUUCGCCUGUGACGAAGCGUGAGUGACGGUAAUUGGUAAAGAAGCACCGGCUAACUACGUG